UAGAUCCUACUGCCUCCUUCAAACAGCCCCACGCAGACGAGGAGACCCUUAGAACUGUCAUCAUGGUUUCGCAAGAUAAGGACACUCUGUAUGGCACAUGGCAUGAACCAUCUGGGAGCACCAAUGAAUGGGUGCCACCUGAAGACGUAGAGAUCUUCCAGACUGGCUGAAAGAAGAAAAUGGGUCGAAAUCUCGGACAUGCAGAGGCGUGGCACCCCAAGGCACUUGCUGCCUGGCGACCCUGUCUGCAGCCCGGCAGGAAACCCUCACCGAACCCCAACCCCAACCCCAUCCCCA
Hemicordylus capensis (graceful crag lizard) is the source of this 297-nucleotide long non-coding RNA. RefSeq lists it as uncharacterized. Lineage: Eukaryota; Metazoa; Chordata; Lepidosauria; Squamata; Cordylidae. The transcript is spliced from 4 exons. The record is from RefSeq and is a predicted model, not a curated record.